RNAcentral lists this ribosomal RNA (465 nucleotides) under Vreelandella stevensii. RNAcentral describes it as "partial 16S ribosomal RNA". It matches the Rfam family "Bacterial small subunit ribosomal RNA", at positions 338 to 795 of the family's 1533-position model. Lineage: Bacteria; Pseudomonadati; Pseudomonadota; Gammaproteobacteria; Oceanospirillales; Halomonadaceae. The record is from RNAcentral.
CCUACGGGUGGCUGCAGUGGGGAAUAUUGGACAAUGGGGGCAACCCUGAUCCAGCCAUGCCGCGUGUGUGAAGAAGGCCCUCGGGUUGUAAAGCACUUUCAGUGAGGAAGAACGCCUGGUGGUUAAUACCCAUCAGGAAAGACAUCACUCACAGAAGAAGCACCGGCUAACUCCGUGCCAGCAGCCGCGGUAAUACGGAGGGUGCGAGCGUUAAUCGGAAUUACUGGGCGUAAAGCGCGCGUAGGUGGCUUGAUAAGCCGGUUGUGAAAGCCCCGGGCUCAACCUGGGAACGGCAUCCGGAACUGUCAAGCUAGAGUGCAGGAGAGGAAGGUAGAAUUCGCGGUGUAGCGGUGAGAUGCGUAGAGAUCGGGAGGAAUACCAGUGGCGAAGGCGGCCUUCUGGACUGACACUGACACUGAGGUGCGAAAGCGUGGGUAGCAAACAGGAUUAGAUACCCGAGUAGUC